This 511-nucleotide ribosomal RNA is filed under the name Macrobrachium idella. RNAcentral's name for it is "partial 16S ribosomal RNA". It matches the Rfam family "Bacterial large subunit ribosomal RNA", at positions 1908 to 2624 of the family's 2925-position model. Lineage: Eukaryota; Metazoa; Arthropoda; Malacostraca; Decapoda; Palaemonidae. The record is from RNAcentral.
UUACUUGAUAUAUAAUUAAAGGGCCGCGGUAAUUUGACCGUGCGAAGGUAGCAUAGUCAGUAGUCUUUUAAUUGAAGGCUUGAAUGAAAGGUUGGACGAGGGAUAAGCUGUCUCCUUUACAUAAUUUUGAAUUUAACUUUUGAGUGAAAAGGCUCAAAUUUUUUAAUGGGACGAUAAGACCCUAUAAAACUUAAUAUAAUUUUGGCUUAAUUUGUGAUUAUUAGUGAAAAGUAGUUUUGCCGGGCUUAUAUUUCGUUGGGGAGAUGUAGAUAUAAUAUGUAACUGUCUAUAUAAUUUAAUAAUUAUAAUUAGUAUUUGAUCCUUCUUUGUGGAUUAGAAGAAUAAGUUACUUUAGGGAUAACAGCGUGAUUUUCUUUGAGAGUUCUUAUCGACAAGAGUAGUUGCGACCUCGAUGUUGAAUUAAAAUUUCAGCUAGGUGUAGCCGUUUAGCUGGUGCGGGGUCUGUUCGACCUUUAAAAUUUUACAUGAUUUGAGUUCAGACCGGGCGCCA